Molecule: transfer RNA, 91 nt
Filed under: Anaerococcus prevotii
Lineage: Bacteria; Bacillati; Bacillota; Tissierellia; Tissierellales; Peptoniphilaceae
Also listed under: 4 other names
Description: tRNA-Leu(aag)
Rfam family: tRNA
About the family: Transfer RNA (tRNA) molecules are approximately 80 nucleotides in length. Their secondary structure includes four short double-helical elements and three loops (D, anti-codon, and T loops).
Source: RNAcentral
GCGGGAUUGGCGGAAUUGGCAGACGCGCAAGACUAAGGAUCUUGUGACCGGUUUUAAGGUCGUGGAAGUUCAAGUCUUCUAUCCCGCACCA